AGUACUUUCAGUUGUGAGGAAGGGGGUGUCGUUAAUAGCGGCAUCUCUUGACGUUAACAACAGAAGAAGCACCGGCUAACUCCGUGCCAGCAGCCGCGGUAAUACGGAGGGUGCGAGCGUUAAUCGGAAUUACUGGGCGUAAAGCGCAUGCAGGUGGUUCAUUAAGUCAGAUGUGAAAGCCCGGGGCUCAACCUCGGAACUGCAUUUGAAACUGGUGAACUAGAGUACUGUAGAGGGGGGUAGAAUUUCAGGUGUAGCGGUGAAAUGCG
Molecule: ribosomal RNA, 269 nt
Filed under: Vibrio sp. HI00D65
Lineage: Bacteria; Pseudomonadati; Pseudomonadota; Gammaproteobacteria; Vibrionales; Vibrionaceae
Description: partial 16S ribosomal RNA
Rfam family: Bacterial small subunit ribosomal RNA
Source: RNAcentral